GGCCAAGUCAGCCCAUGACCAGAGCCCACGUGUGGCAGAUCUAUUCAUGGCUGCAUUGGCUGCUGCCUGCAGCGUUCCUUUGGAGAGGAACAGCUGUCGGGAAGCCAAGCAGCAGGUCGCUCAGCAGGUAGCUGAAAAGCUUGUGAAGGAAGAGAGCCGACAGCUUGGGAGGCUGCUGGGGAGGCUGGAGCAGCCGUGCUGCUCCUUGAACGUGCUGAAGGUAAAGGCCCUGUCCAUUUGUCUGGCUGUGCCCAGAGGUGCCUGGACCUUUGGACCGGGGUUAGGAGCAUGGGGAUGGGGGAACUGCGGGCUCAGCCCUCAAUGACUUCUAUCUCCCUGGUGUCAGUUGUUGAGUAAAUGCGCCCAUGGUAGCCAUGAGGUGUGACUGGGAUGCGCCUGGUCACUGCGUCCCUGCCCCAGGGCUUGAUAUGCAUCUCGCCCCUCUGCCUUGCAGAUCCUCUAUGCUGGCUGCCAUGUCAGCCUGAGCCUGUGCCAGCACCUGGGAAGAAGCCAACGACUGUGGGGUUCCCUCAUGCAGCUCUCAAAGGGCGAGGUAGGACUAACCACAGCACCAGUGGUAGGGUAGGAGUGUGGGCAAGCAGUACACAUUCC
RNAcentral lists this long non-coding RNA (612 nucleotides) under Strigops habroptila (Kakapo). RNAcentral's name for it is "lncRNA (ENSSHBG00005012326.1)". Lineage: Eukaryota; Metazoa; Chordata; Aves; Psittaciformes; Psittacidae. The record is from RNAcentral.